RNAcentral lists this ribosomal RNA (491 nucleotides) under uncultured bacterium. RNAcentral describes it as "partial 16S ribosomal RNA". It matches the Rfam family "Bacterial small subunit ribosomal RNA", at positions 29 to 507 of the family's 1533-position model. The record is from RNAcentral.
UUGCACGCUGGCGGCAUGCUUUACACAUGCAAGUCGAACGGUAACAGGCCUUCGGGUGCUGACGAGUGGCGAACGGGUGAGUAAUGCAUCGGAACGUACCCAGAGGUGGGGGAUAACGCAGCGAAAGCUGUGCUAAUACCGCAUGUGAUCGGAGGAUGAAAGCGGGGGACCGAGCAGCAAUGUUUGGCCUCGCGCCUUUGGAGCGGCCGAUGUCGGAUUAGCUAGUUGGUGGGGUAAAGGCCUACCAAGGCGACGAUCCGUAGCUGGUCUGAGAGGACGACCAGCCACACUGGAACUGAGACACGGCCCAGACUCCUACGGGAGGCAGCAGUGGGGAAUUUUGGACAAUGGGCGCAAGCCUGAUCCAGCAAUGCCGCGUGCGGGAAGAAGGCCUUCGGGUUGUAAACCGCUUUUGGCAGGAACGAAACGGUGUCCGCUAAUACCGGGCGCUAAUGACGGUACCUGCAGAAUAAGCACCGGCUAACUACGUG